RNAcentral lists this ribosomal RNA (253 nucleotides) under uncultured bacterium. Its description in RNAcentral is "partial 16S ribosomal RNA". It matches the Rfam family "Bacterial small subunit ribosomal RNA", at positions 524 to 776 of the family's 1533-position model. The record is from RNAcentral.
GACGAGGGGUCCUAGCGUUGUUCGGAAUCACUGGGCGUAAAGCGUAUGUAGGCGGCUUUUCAAGUCAGAUGUGAAAUCCCUUGGCUUAACCAAGGAACUGCAUUUGAUACUGCUAAGCUUGAGUAUGGUAGGGGAUGGUAGAAUUCCAGGUGUAGUGGUGAAAUACGUAGAUAUCUGGAGGAACACCGGCGGCGAAGGCGGCUAUCUGGACCAAUACUGACGCUGAGAUACGAAAGCAUGGGGAUCAAACAGG